This is a long non-coding RNA of Telopea speciosissima, 113 nucleotides long. RefSeq lists it as uncharacterized. The transcript is spliced from 2 exons. The record is from RefSeq and is a predicted model, not a curated record. Lineage: Eukaryota; Viridiplantae; Streptophyta; Magnoliopsida; Proteales; Proteaceae.
GGCAGUUUUGACAAACCAGAUUGACUGAGUUUAACCUUAUGCCUACAAGUUGUGCCAAUUAAUUUUUCACAGAAGCAUUCUGGUGAUGAAAGAGAAGUUGCAAAUCCCUGGUA